Mauremys mutica (yellowpond turtle) is the source of this 1016-nucleotide long non-coding RNA. RefSeq lists it as uncharacterized. Lineage: Eukaryota; Metazoa; Chordata; Testudines; Geoemydidae. The transcript is spliced from 3 exons. The record is from RefSeq and is a predicted model, not a curated record.
UUUUGAAUUGUGUAGCUGUGCAUGUUGUGAGUAGGUUUGCAGUUGAGCUUUGUUUGUAUUUGCAGACGCAUGCAGAUCUGGUAUCGUGUUGUGUCAUUCUGUGGAGGGUUGUGACUACAUCUGUUUGACUGUCACUGCAUUGCUGUAUAGAUGUCGAUGUAUGGGAGCGAAGGCCCAUGUACAAAGGAAAAGGCGAUCGGGAGUGGCUGUCAAAGUUAAGUAUCUGCUGGAGGAUUUGAUGGUCAAAAAGUAUGUGUGCUGUUGAGGCUGUAGGGAUGGGAGUCCUCCGAAGCCUGCCUGUUUGUAAUGGGUUCAUGAGGCAGCUCAUUGAAUGGGAGUGGGAGUUUUCUGUGGAGGAAGUUGACUGAUGGAAGAGUGACCUGUCUGUAACUAGAGAUGCUCCAUUCUCCCUUCUUCUCUCAUAAAUGGCACUGGGUUUGCAUCACUGAUCACCACUAUCCUGUUUGUCUGUCCUCUAUUGGGUGUUGGUUUUCUGAGGAGGAUGUGAGCAUCCUAGUUACCGAUGGGCCCCUGUCAGUGUUGGGAAAGGGCCAUGAGUACUGUGUAAAUGUGAGUAUUUUGCAUGUUGAUUUUAAAUGUAUAGAAGUAGUUUGUUGCUGCUUCAUUGUAGGUAGGAAUGUGCUGGGGCUCUUUCACGGUGUCAAAUAGGUUAGUUUAGCAAAGGGAGUGUGGUAUUGUGGUGUUGUGAGCAUUAGCAAUAAUCUGGUGUUUAUUGUUUGUGUGCCACAGGGGUAUUUGAGUCCAGAACUGAGGGAAUGGGCUGUAGCAAGUGUGCCCCGUUUGGUUUACAUGGGUUCUUGUAAAUAUGGUGCCAGUGGGCACAGAGGAGCUGUUUGCAUCCAUGAGAUCCUUAAGAGGCUUCAAGAGGUGCAGUUUGUGAAAGAAGGAUAGAUGUGAAGCCCCAUCUGGUGGAAAAAGAGUUUUGUGUGAAGAUGGGGAUCCAGUUGGGCAAAGAACAAGUGAAGUAGAAGUAUGCCUGUGGGGGACAUGAAGUA